Molecule: ribosomal RNA, 161 nt
Filed under: Cestrum acutifolium
Lineage: Eukaryota; Viridiplantae; Streptophyta; Magnoliopsida; Solanales; Solanaceae
Also listed under: 26 other names
Description: 5.8S ribosomal RNA
Rfam family: 5.8S ribosomal RNA
About the family: 5.8S ribosomal RNA (5.8S rRNA) is a component of the large subunit of the eukaryotic ribosome. It is transcribed by RNA polymerase I as part of the 45S precursor that also contains 18S and 28S rRNA. Functionally, it is thought that 5.8S rRNA may be involved in ribosome translocation.
Source: RNAcentral
AAACGACUCUCGGCAACGGAUAUCUCGGCUCUCGCAUCGAUGAAGAACGUAGCGAAAUGCGAUACUUGGUGUGAAUUGCAGAAUCCCGUGAACCAUCGAGUCUUUGAACGCAAGUUGCGCCCGAAGCCACUAGGCUGAGGGCACGUCUGCCUGGGCGUCAC